RNAcentral lists this ribosomal RNA (404 nucleotides) under uncultured bacterium. Its description in RNAcentral is "bacterial SSU rRNA". It matches the Rfam family "Bacterial small subunit ribosomal RNA", at positions 355 to 774 of the family's 1533-position model. The record is from RNAcentral.
UGGGGAAUAUUGCACAAUGGAGGAAACUCUGAUGCAGCGACGCCGCGUGAGUGAAGAAGGUCUUCGGAUCGUAAAACUCUGUCCUUGGUGGCGAAAAAAAUGACGGUAGCCAAGGAGGAAGCCCCGGCUAACUACGUGCCAGCAGCCGCGGUAAUACGUAGGGGGCGAGCGUUGUCCGGAUUUACUGGGCGUAAAGGGUGAGUAGGCGGUAAUAUGUGUCAGAUGUAAAAGGCUAUGGCUUAACCAUAGUUAGCAUUUGAAACUGUAUUACUUGAGUGCAGGAGAGGUGAGUGGAAUUCCUAGUGUAGCGGUGAAAUGCGUAGAUAUUAGGAGGAACACCAGUGGCGAAGGCGACUUACUGGACUGUAACUGACGCUGAGUCACGAAAGCGUGGGUAGCAAACA